RNAcentral lists this ribosomal RNA (468 nucleotides) under uncultured bacterium. RNAcentral's name for it is "partial 16S ribosomal RNA". It matches the Rfam family "Bacterial small subunit ribosomal RNA", at positions 28 to 507 of the family's 1533-position model. The record is from RNAcentral.
GACGAACGCUGGCGGCGUGCUUAACACAUGCAAGUCGAACGGAAAGGCCCUGCUUUUGUGGGGUGCUCGAGUGGCGAACGGGUGAGUAACACGUGAGUAACCUGCCCUUGACUUUGGGAUAACUUCAGGAAACUGGGGCUAAUACCGGAUAGGAGCUCCUGCUGCAUGGUGGGCGUUGGAUAGUUUCGGCGGUUGGGGAUGGACUGGCGGCUUAUCAGCUUGUUGGUGGGGUAGUGGCUUACCAAGGCUUUGACGGGUCGCCGGCCUGGGAGGGUGACCGGCCACAAGAGGACUGAGAGACGGCCCAGAGGCCUACGUGGGGCAGCAGGCGAGAGUAUUGCACAAUGGUCGGGAGCCUGAGGCGGCAGCGCCGCGUUCGGGAUGACGGCCUUUGGGUUGUGAACCGCUGUCGCCUGUGACGAAGCGGUAGUGACGGUAACGGGUAAAGAAGCACCGGCUAACUACGUG